This 1369-nucleotide ribosomal RNA is filed under the name uncultured bacterium. Its description in RNAcentral is "bacterial SSU rRNA". It matches the Rfam family "Bacterial small subunit ribosomal RNA", at positions 28 to 1381 of the family's 1533-position model. The record is from RNAcentral.
GACGAACGCUGGCGGCGUGCCUAAUACAUGCAAGUAGAACGCUGAGGUUUGGUGUUUACACUAGACUGAUGAGUUGCGAACGGGUGAGUAACGCGUAGGUAACCUGCCUCAUAGCGGGGGAUAACUAUUGGAAACGAUAGCUAAUACCGCAUAAGAGUAAUUAACACAUGUUGGUUAUUUAAAAGGAGCAAUUGCUUCACUGUGAGAUGGACCUGCGUUGUAUUAGCUAGUUGGUGAGGUAAAGGCUCACCAAGGCGACGAUACAUAGCCGACCUGAGAGGGUGAUCGGCCACACUGGGACUGAGACACGGCCCAGACUCCUACGGGAGGCAGCAGUAGGGAAUCUUCGGCAAUGGACGGAAGUCUGACCGAGCAACGCCGCGUGAGUGAAGAAGGUUUUCGGAUCGUAAAGCUCUGUUGUUAGAGAAGAACGUUGGUAGGAGUGGAAAAUCUACCAAGUGACGGUAACUAACCAGAAAGGGACGGCUAACUACGUGCCAGCAGCCGCGGUAAUACGUAGGUCCCGAGCGUUGUCCGGAUUUAUUGGGCGUAAAGCGAGCGCAGGCGGUUCUUUAAGUCUGAAGUUAAAGGCAGUGGCUUAACCAUUGUACGCUUUGGAAACUGGAGGACUUGAGUGCAGAAGGGGAGAGUGGAAUUCCAUGUGUAGCGGUGAAAUGCGUAGAUAUAUGGAGGAACACCGGUGGCGAAAGCGGCUCUCUGGUCUGUAACUGACGCUGAGGCUCGAAAGCGUGGGGAGCAAACGGGAUUAGAUACCCUGGUAGUCCACGCCGUAAACGAUGAGUGCUAGGUGUUAGGCCCUUUCCGGGGCUUAGUGCCGCAGCUAACGCAUUAAGCACUCCGCCUGGGGAGUACGACCGCAAGGUUGAAACUCAAAGGAAUUGACGGGGGCCCGCACAAGCGGUGGAGCAUGUGGUUUAAUUCGAAGCAACGCGAAGAACCUUACCAGGUCUUGACAUCCUUCUGACCGGCCUAGAGAUAGGCUUUCUCUUCGGAGCAGAAGUGACAGGUGGUGCAUGGUUGUCGUCAGCUCGUGUCGUGAGAUGUUGGGUUAAGUCCCGCAACGAGCGCAACCCCUAUUGUUAGUUGCCAUCAUUAAGUUGGGCACUCUAGCGAGACUGCCGGUAAUAAACCGGAGGAAGGUGGGGAUGACGUCAAAUCAUCAUGCCCCUUAUGACCUGGGCUACACACGUGCUACAAUGGUUGGUACAACGAGUCGCAAGCCGGUGACGGCAAGCUAAUCUCUUAAAGCCAAUCUCAGUUCGGAUUGUAGGCUGCAACUCGCCUACAUGAAGUCGGAAUCGCUAGUAAUCGCGGAUCAGCACGCCGCGGUGAAUACGUUCCCGGGCCU